UUGGUUCCAUGCAUAAAUAGACUCUAGGGUCCCAUUGGGGCCUUCCGGAUACCACCAGAAUGCCUGAAUCUUAAGCUGACUACAGUUUAGGUUCAAGCUAGAAUCCUUUCUGCUCAUCUGAGGAAAUGUCUAAGGAAAUGACUCAGAAUCAUGUAUUAAGUUUGAAUCAUCCUAGUAGGCCUGGGCCAUCUGCUCAUACGUGGUAAGGAAAGAAUUGUGGUUUCAGGCAUAUGGCUUUUGCUAUUAAGCUUUAUUGUCGUCUCUUAUUGGUGAGAAUGAUAUAUUGUUUAAAACUAAGGAGUUGUGAUAGCAUGUUACUGAACCUACAGCAAAAUACCAUCUCAGUUACAUUUAUGAUUUGAUGCCUAAACUAAUGGAAUGAGCAUGAGAGCAGCAAUGAGUGGUGCAUGCAAAGAAUUGGGACAUGGACAAAAAACAGGCUAUUUCUUAUUUAUUGGCAACUUUUUACAAAAUUGAGAGCGGCUGGCAGUUGUCAGAAAGAAGGCCUGGAUGGUCAAUCUCCUUGUACCGAUGAUUCUGACACCACUCUGGCAGGGAGAAGUGAGCAUUGCCUUGUUACUGCCUGGUGGAGGUAGAAACUCAUGAUCCCUGUUUGGCUU
Molecule: long non-coding RNA, 620 nt
Filed under: Homo sapiens (human)
Lineage: Eukaryota; Metazoa; Chordata; Mammalia; Primates; Hominidae
Description: HSALNT0160027
Source: RNAcentral